AUACCGGCCUACGAUCGAAUCCCGAAAGUUACCGGAUGGGCUGUUUACUUCUCUGGUUUUUUUGGGUAACAUCCCGGCCCAUCCCAGAUCUUCCCGACCCGGUAAGCUGCACGCUCCGGUUUUCUCAGCCACGAGGUCGACCCCGUGUUUUCGGUCGUGAAAAGGGGAACGGAGCGACGGAGGCAACGCAACAGCGGCGACAGGCGGCGGGGCAAGGCGACGGCGGCGGCGGGGAAAGAACUAGCAGAUCAAGACGGCGCCGACGAGAUCCUCCUCCGGCGACUGGUCCGAUACCUGCACCUUGGCCUAUUGUUGGAUUGGAUCAACCACCUCCAUCUUGGGAAGUUGUGAGAACUCCUGUUUUUGUGUUGCAAUGAAUACACAAAGGCUAGAGCUUAUUAGGAAGAGAAGAGAGGAAGACGACGAGGAGUUCAUGUUCUUACUUCUACCAAUAUUGCACUAUCACAAAAAGCAACCUACAGCAAGGGGAACAACUUCUGAAAGUUAGCCAUACCGGUGAUGUGGUAGUUUCAGUCAGUAAAGCACACUUGGUUUUGCCUAUACUGGAACAGUAAAGCACACUUGGUUUUGCCUAUACUGGAUUUAUACAAGAUGAAUUCAGAUUU
Molecule: RNA transcript, 626 nt
Organism: Lolium rigidum
Lineage: Eukaryota; Viridiplantae; Streptophyta; Magnoliopsida; Poales; Poaceae
Exons: 3
Source: RefSeq, a predicted model, not a curated record